Molecule: ribosomal RNA, 468 nt
Filed under: uncultured bacterium
Lineage: Bacteria
Description: partial 16S ribosomal RNA
Rfam family: Bacterial small subunit ribosomal RNA
Source: RNAcentral
GACGAACGCUGGCGGCGUGCUUAACACAUGCAAGUCGAACGGAAAGGCCCUGCUUUUGUGGGGUGCUCGAGUGGCGAACGGGUGUGUAACACGUGAGUAACCUGCCCUUGACUUUGGGACAACUUCAGGAAACUGGGGCUAAUACCUGAUACGAGCUCCUGCUGCUUGGUGGGGGUUGGAAAGUUUCGGCGGUUGUGGAUGUACUCGGGGCUUAUCAGCUAGUGGGUUGGGUAGUGGCUUACCACGGCUUUGACAGGUAGUCGGCCUGGGAGGGUAGACGGCGACAAUGGGACAGAGGUACGGCCCAGAGUCCAACGGGCGGCAACAGUGGAAAGUAUUGCACACUGGGGGCAAGCCUGUUGUGGCGACGCCGCGUGCGGUAUGACAGCUUACGGGUUGGAAACCGCUGUCUGCUGUGACGAAGCGUGAGUGACGGUAAUGGGUGAAAAAGCACCGGCUAACUACGUG